This 623-nucleotide long non-coding RNA is filed under the name Mus pahari (shrew mouse). RNAcentral describes it as "lncRNA (MGP_PahariEiJ_G0004973.1)". Lineage: Eukaryota; Metazoa; Chordata; Mammalia; Rodentia; Muridae. The record is from RNAcentral.
AUUUGGGGAACGCCCCUUCUUUCCUCUUCUCCCUAACAAGGUGGAGAUGGUUUUGCUCAGACAAACUUUAUUACCAGCACCAAUGAGGGGAACUGAGAAUUCUGAGACACUGCAGUUGACAUCACAGAACUCUAGCUGCUCUGUGUACUGUAUCCUUUUCCACCUUUGUCCUUAAAAGCUAUUGGAACCCUUAUAAAAAAUGCAGCUGUGUAUUUAGAGAGCAACCCUUACUUUGAAUGGUUCUUUUACCUGAUAAGGCAUCUGGAUAUUUAUUCCUCCAACCCAACUCCAAUCGCCCCCUUUUGUGUUUGCCCAGGUAGAGGAAAAUCUCCAGUCCACUCCCAUCUGUUUGCCUCAUCCAGGCCAUGGAAGGAUCACUACUACAAUAAAAUUCCUGAGACUGCCAAGACCCAGGAACCUUGGGUGCUGAUGGGUUCUCUUGGAUGAGGAGAAAACAACAGGACCACCGGAUUAGGGUUUGUUAUAGCCCAACUCUCCCUGCUUCUUGCUUCUUACUAAAUAAUGGAUCAAUGACCGCCUGGCAGAAUUAGCCUUUCAAUUGACUUUUGUCUUUUGCCCAUCAUUUCCAAAGCUCAUCUCCCAAGGGGAAGACUGAAAGGAGU